UGAUUGUCCAAACGCAGUUCUUG
This 23-nucleotide microRNA is filed under the name Eisenia fetida (common brandling worm). Its description in RNAcentral is "Efe-Mir-219-P7_5p (mature (co-guide))". Lineage: Eukaryota; Metazoa; Annelida; Clitellata; Crassiclitellata; Lumbricidae. The record is from RNAcentral.